AGCCUUGUACACACCGCCCGUCAAGCCACGGAAGUUGACAGUACCCGAAGUCGUGCACCCAACCGUAAGGAGGGAAGCGCCCACGGUAAGGUCGAUGACUGGGACU
This 106-nucleotide ribosomal RNA is filed under the name uncultured bacterium. RNAcentral describes it as "partial 16S ribosomal RNA". It matches the Rfam family "Bacterial small subunit ribosomal RNA", at positions 1377 to 1482 of the family's 1533-position model. The record is from RNAcentral.